CGCGCCGCUGCGCGGGGAUGACAUCGCCGCGGACGCGGGUGUGUGGUCCGCCCCGACCCCGGCAGUCGGCUUUCGCCACCAAUCGUGGGCCCGUGUUCUUAGUGUUUUCUUCCACUCAUGUUUGUGUUUGAGGUGCUUUCUAUUCAGGACGACUUGUUUUUAAGGCAUAUCACCUAGAUUCAGCUUUUCCCAGCAGUUCUCCCCAAUUGUGAUCCUCCUUGGCACUUUGAGAUGCUCUUGCUCUCCGCACGCAGAGGAUCCGUUCUCCGACUGCAGCAGGUUGCCCGCAGCUCUGACCGCUAAUGGCACAGAAAAUAUGACAGACAGCAAAGGAGCUGUGAUUAUGCUUAUUUCAGUGGACUGCUUCAAAAGGCCAUUUUUUACCUGUAAAUCUUCAAACUCAAAACUGUAA
RNAcentral lists this long non-coding RNA (412 nucleotides) under Chinchilla lanigera (long-tailed chinchilla). RNAcentral describes it as "lncRNA (ENSCLAG00000027110.1)". Lineage: Eukaryota; Metazoa; Chordata; Mammalia; Rodentia; Chinchillidae. The record is from RNAcentral.